UACGAAGGGGCUAGCGUUGUUCGGAAUCACUGGGCGUAAAGCGCACGUAGGCGGAUCUUUAAGUCAGGGGUGAAAUCCCGAGGCUCAACCUCGGAACUGCCUUUGAUACUGGGAUCUCGAGUCCGGGAGAGGUGAGUGGAACUGCGAGUGUAGAGGUGAAAUUCGUAGAUAUUCGCAAGAACACCAGUGGCGAAGGCGGCUCACUGGCCCGGAACUGACGCUGACGGUGCGAAAGCGUGGGAGCAACAGGG
RNAcentral lists this ribosomal RNA (251 nucleotides) under uncultured bacterium. RNAcentral's name for it is "partial 16S ribosomal RNA". It matches the Rfam family "Bacterial small subunit ribosomal RNA", at positions 524 to 776 of the family's 1533-position model. The record is from RNAcentral.